UACGGGGGGGGCAAGCGUUGUUCGGAAUUACUGGGCGUAAAGGGCUCGUAGGCGGCCAACUAAGUCAGACGUGAAAUCCCUCGGCUUAACCGGGGAACUGCGUCUGAUACUGGAUGGCUUGAGUUUGGGAGAGGGAUGCGGAAUUCCAGGUGUAGCGGUGAAAUGCGUAGAUAUCUGGAGGAACACCGGUGGCGAAGGCGGCAUCCUGGACCAACACUGACGCUGAGUGAGUGAAAGCCAGGGGAGCAAACGGG
RNAcentral lists this ribosomal RNA (254 nucleotides) under uncultured bacterium. RNAcentral's name for it is "partial 16S ribosomal RNA". It matches the Rfam family "Bacterial small subunit ribosomal RNA", at positions 524 to 776 of the family's 1533-position model. The record is from RNAcentral.